Molecule: ribosomal RNA, 255 nt
Filed under: uncultured bacterium
Lineage: Bacteria
Description: partial 16S ribosomal RNA
Rfam family: Bacterial small subunit ribosomal RNA
Source: RNAcentral
UACAGAGGCCCCAAGCAUUAUCCGGAAUCACUGGGCGUAAAGGGUGUGUAGGCGGCAGUAUUAGUCUUUCGUGAAAGAUCUUGGGCUUAACCCAGGAGACGCGGGGGAAACGGUACUGCUUUGAGGACGUAAGAGGUACAGGGAACUCAUGGUGUAGGGGUGAAAUCCGUUGAUAUCAUGGGGAACACCAAAUGCGAAGGCACUGUACUGGUACGCUCCUGACGCUGAAACACGAAAGCGUGGGAAUCGAACGGG